Molecule: long non-coding RNA, 1580 nt
Organism: Cygnus olor (mute swan)
Lineage: Eukaryota; Metazoa; Chordata; Aves; Anseriformes; Anatidae
Exons: 4
Source: RefSeq, a predicted model, not a curated record
UUCUUGCAACUUUUAAUCUUCCAUGUAAGCUACUGGGAACGUUUCUAUGGUUACCUCCUAGAAUAUCAGUCUGCCAACAUCAGGUCAUUUCCAUCGUGGAACUUAAAUUCAAGCUGGUCUUUUAGCUGUGCUGAGCUUUAGUACUGAUUUUAGACUCCUGAAGAGCUGGAGGUGUACAACUUAGAUGCUCUGGAAAUCUCUGGAAUUGCUGUCAGGAAGCUGUGGCGUGAACUGAGGAUGGGGCUGAAGGAAGCAUCUGAAAGACCUUUGUCUGCUGGCAAAAGGGAGAAAAAGCCAACAAAUAGCCUGCUGAGCACAAACAAUGUCAUCAGCUCCAGCAUCAUCAGGCACAGAAGGACAGACCCAGAGGAACAACUCAGAGCUGCCAUGCCCCACACAUCACACACAUCCAUCUGUUCUCCUCGCGCCCCAGAGCAAAUCACUCAGCAUGGCAGGUAAAGCCUCUCUGCAACCUGCACCUGGAGUUUGCACCUGUGCCAUGGGAGCCUCUGCGCAUGAACCAGGAUUCCUCCUUCCCUUCAUUAACUACACAGGUAUUUAAGGGAAACUUGCUCUGAUGGAAGUACCAAUGCAGCUGCUCUGUCCAGUCUCCCACCCUGGAGCAAAACAAGGCUUUGCUGCUGCCCUUGGACUAGACGCCAAGGGAUGCUCCACGUUUCCCUGGUCCAGACCCCUCUUUCUUCGUGAGCCCUCUGCACCUUGCUGUAAUGCAUUAAACCACAGUGCUCCUCACAGCGAUGGCCUGCUUGGAAGAAGAAAACCGGGGUCUUCGUAGGCCAGUGAGUCUCCACCAUGGACUUGCUGUCUCCAUGCUCUCAUUCCCACAGGAAUAUAUAUAUAUAUUUUUUCCUAAGGUGAAGACUUCCCAUUCAAUCUUACUUACAACCAACAAUCCAAACUUCUUCCCAGCCAUGUUUGUGCAGCUAUGCGCCUCUGUCAUGUGGACCAGCUUCAUGAACACGUUUCCUAAUUAAACCUGAAUGGUACAUAAGAAAAUGUCUUCUAUAACUAAUUAUUUCAUGCACAAUCUGAAAACUAGUUAAGAUCGUGUUUAUGGUGUUAUUAGAUGUGUGUUCCUUUUCCAGCGUAGCUGAGAAAGGAAGCAUUUGUCUGAACUAAAGUCGGAUAGGGCUGUCUGCAGCCAUCAGACACACCAUGGCUUUGUCUCUGGCGUCAAAGGAGAUUUAAGGCAAUUCUCUGCCUUCGAUGCUGCCUGGCAACAUUGGGAAGGCUUUUUUUCCUUAUCUGUGAAGCAGUAAGAAGCCAUUAAAUGGUGCAGAGAAGGAAGGAGGGCACAGACAUGACGUCUGUCUAUGCUGGCAGGGAGACUCUGCCUUGACGCUGGGAGGGAGACCACCGAGAUGCGUCCUUGCCACAGGGGAGGCACAGCCAAAGGUUCAACCCACGUGUUUGUACCGAGCAGUGCUUUUGACAUUUGCUUCCCACAAGAUUUUCCUUCUCAUUAGUGCUUGGUUCAUCAUUUUGUGUUACUAACAUGCAUCUUCAAUGUGAAACUAAAAAAAAGAAAAAAAAAAUAUCUGCAGAUCUAUUUAAUGAGA